This 517-nucleotide ribosomal RNA is filed under the name Salmonella enterica. RNAcentral's name for it is "partial 23S ribosomal RNA". It matches the Rfam family "Bacterial large subunit ribosomal RNA", at positions 2286 to 2802 of the family's 2925-position model. Lineage: Bacteria; Pseudomonadati; Pseudomonadota; Gammaproteobacteria; Enterobacterales; Enterobacteriaceae. RNAcentral also lists the same sequence under 3 other names. The record is from RNAcentral.
CCUCCUAAAGAGUAACGGAGGAGCACGAAGGUUGGCUAAUCCUGGUCGGACAUCAGGAGGUUAGUGCAAUGGCAUAAGCCAGCUUGACUGCGAGCGUGACGGCGCGAGCAGGUGCGAAAGCAGGUCAUAGUGAUCCGGUGGUUCUGAAUGGAAGGGCCAUCGCUCAACGGAUAAAAGGUACUCCGGGGAUAACAGGCUGAUACCGCCCAAGAGUUCAUAUCGACGGCGGUGUUUGGCACCUCGAUGUCGGCUCAUCACAUCCUGGGGCUGAAGUAGGUCCCAAGGGUAUGGCUGUUCGCCAUUUAAAGUGGUACGCGAGCUGGGUUUAGAACGUCGUGAGACAGUUCGGUCCCUAUCUGCCGUGGGCGCUGGAGAACUGAGGGGGGCUGCUCCUAGUACGAGAGGACCGGAGUGGACGCAUCACUGGUGUUCGGGUUGUCAUGCCAAUGGCACUGCCCGGUAGCUAAAUGCGGAAGAGAUAAGUGCUGAAAGCAUCUAAGCACGAAACUUGCCCCGA